RNAcentral lists this small nucleolar RNA (65 nucleotides) under Sinocyclocheilus rhinocerous. RNAcentral's name for it is "Small nucleolar RNA R72 (ENSSRHG00000020253.1)". The record is from RNAcentral. Lineage: Eukaryota; Metazoa; Chordata; Actinopteri; Cypriniformes; Cyprinidae.
AGAUAAAUGAUGAGUUAAAUCCCAUUGAUUAAAAACCUGCUAUCAAAUACUUCAUUCUGGUGAUU